GUAGUCCACGCCCUAAACUAUGAUCACUCGUUGUUGGCGAUACACAGUCAGCGACUAAGGGAAACCAUUAAGUGAUCCACCUGGGGAGUACGACCGCAAGGUUGAAACUCAAAGGAAUUGACGGGGGCCCGCACAAGCGGAGGAGCAUGUGGUUUAAUUCGAUGAUACGCGAGGAACCUUACCUGGGCUUGAAAGUUAGUGACCGCUCCUGAAAGGGAGCCUUCCGCAAGGACACGAAACUAGGUGCUGCAUGGCUGUCGUCAGCUCGUGCCGUGAGGUGUUGGGUUAAGUCCCGUAACGAGCGCAACCCCUAUCAUUAGUUGCCAUCAGGUAAAGCUGGGGACUCUAAUGAGACUGCCCGCGCAAGCGGUGA
RNAcentral lists this ribosomal RNA (373 nucleotides) under uncultured bacterium. Its description in RNAcentral is "bacterial SSU rRNA". It matches the Rfam family "Bacterial small subunit ribosomal RNA", at positions 790 to 1167 of the family's 1533-position model. The record is from RNAcentral.